CUGGCCCUGCCGGGCCUGCCCUCAGCUGCCUUCAGCGCCCGGACUUCGCCUCUCUCAGAUGCGGCAGAAGGACGAGUAAUACAAACUACUGAACUUACCUAAUGCCAAAUCACCUUUUUCAUUCCAGAAGAGGACUAAAAAUGACUUUCAAAAUAAGGGAAAAAAUUAGCAGCUGGGAGAAAACGUGAAAGUUGUCUUCCACUUGUUGGAAAGGAGAACUGAGGAUCUCGGAAUAUUUUACAAGUCUGUAAAGUAUUAUCGCAAUGCAGGUGUGAUCUGAUGAAACCACAGCUAGUGCUGAUGCCUGCCUAUGAUGGCAAGAGAACCCAGACUAUAAACUUGGGAUUUCUAACCUCUUAAUAG
Non-coding RNA from Sturnus vulgaris (Common starling), 363 nucleotides. NCBI's taxonomy places the organism in Eukaryota, Metazoa, Chordata, Aves, Passeriformes, Sturnidae. The record is from RefSeq and is a predicted model, not a curated record.